UUGCUCGGGUGGAUUAGUGGCGAACGGGUGAGUAAUACGUGAGUAACCUGCCCUUGACUCUGGGAUAAGCCUGGGAAACUGGGUCUAAUACUGGAUACUACUUCCUGCCGCAUGGUGGGUGGUGGAAAGGGUUUUACUGGUUUUGGAUGGGCUCACGGCCUAUCAGCUUGUUGGUGGGGUAAUGGCUCACCAAGGCGACGACGGGUAGCCGGCCUGAGAGGGUGACCGGCCACACUGGGACUGAGACACGGCCCAGACUCCUACGGGAGGCAGCAGUGGGGAAUAUUGCACAAUGGGCGGAAGCCUGAUGCAGCGACGCCGCGUGAGGGAUGACGGCCUUCGGGUUGUAAACCUCUUUCAGUAGGGAAGAAGCGAGAGUGACGGUACCUGCAGAAGAAGCGCCGGCUAACUACGUGCCAGCAGCCGCGGUAAUACGUAGGGCGCAAGCGUUGUCCGGAAUUAUUGGGCGUAAAGAGCUCGUAGGCGGUUUGUCGCGUCUGCUGUGAAAGCCCGGGGCUCAACCCCGGGUCUGCAGUGGGUACGGGCAGACUAGAGUGCAGUAGGGGAGACUGGAAUUCCUGGUGUAGCGGUGAAAUGCGCAGAUAUCAGGAGGAACACCGAUGGCGAAGGCAGGUCUCUGGGCUGUUACUGACGCUGAGGAGCGAAAGCAUGGGGAGCGAACAGGAUUAGAUACCCUGGUAGUCCAUGCCGUAAACGUUGGGCACUAGGUGUGGGGGACAUUCCACGUUUCUCCGCGCCGUAGCUAAACGCAUUAGUGCCCCGCCUGGGGGAGUACGGCCGCAAGGCUAAAACUCAAAGGAAUUUGACGGGGGCCCGCACAAGCGGCG
RNAcentral lists this ribosomal RNA (848 nucleotides) under Kocuria rosea. RNAcentral describes it as "bacterial SSU rRNA". It matches the Rfam family "Bacterial small subunit ribosomal RNA", at positions 79 to 934 of the family's 1533-position model. The record is from RNAcentral. Lineage: Bacteria; Bacillati; Actinomycetota; Actinomycetes; Micrococcales; Micrococcaceae.